AUUGAACGCUGGCGGCAGGCCUAACACAUGCAAGUCGAACGGUAACAGGAAGCAGCUUGCUGCUUCGCUGACGAGUGGCGGACGGAUGAGUAAUGUCUGGGAAGCUGCCUGAUGGAGGGGGAUAACUACUGGAAACGGUAGCUAAUACCGCAUAAUGUCGCAAGACCAAAGAGGGGGACCUUCGGGCCUCUUGCCAUCGGAUGUGCCCAGAUGGGAUUAGCUUGUUGGUGGGGUAACGGCUCACCAAGGCGACGAUCCCUAGCUGGUCUGAGAGGAUGACCAGCCACACUGGAACUGAGACACGGUCCAGACUCCUACGGGAGGCAGCAGUGGGGAAUAUUGCACAAUGGGCGCAAGCCUGAUGCAGCCAUGCCGCGUGUAUGAAGAAGGCCUUCGGGUUGUAAAGUACUUUCGGCGGGGAGGAAGGGAGUAAAGUUAAUACCUUUGCUCAUUGACGUUACCCGCAGAAGAAGCACCGGCUAACUCCGUG
RNAcentral lists this ribosomal RNA (490 nucleotides) under uncultured bacterium. Its description in RNAcentral is "partial 16S ribosomal RNA". It matches the Rfam family "Bacterial small subunit ribosomal RNA", at positions 30 to 507 of the family's 1533-position model. The record is from RNAcentral.